This 563-nucleotide ribosomal RNA is filed under the name uncultured bacterium. RNAcentral describes it as "partial 16S ribosomal RNA". It matches the Rfam family "Bacterial small subunit ribosomal RNA", at positions 355 to 932 of the family's 1533-position model. The record is from RNAcentral.
UGGGGAAUAUUGCACAAUGGGCGCAAGCCUGAUGCAGCAACGCCGCGUGAGGGAUGACGGCCUUCGGGUUGUAAACCUCUUUUAGCAGGGAAGAAGCGAAAGUGACGGUACCUGCAGAAAAAGCACCGGCUAACUACGUGCCAGCAGCCGCGGUAAUACGUAGGGUGCAAGCGUUGUCCGGAAUUAUUGGGCGUAAAGAGCUCGUAGGCGGUCUGUCGCGUCUGCUGUGAAAUCCCGAGGCUCAACCUCGGGCCUGCAGUGGGUACGGGCAGACUAGAGUGCGGUAGGGGAGAAUGGAACUCCUGGUGUAGCGGUGGAAUGCGCAGAUAUCAGGAAGAACACCGAUGGCGAAGGCAGUUCUCUGGGCCGUAACUGACGCUGAGGAGCGAAAGCGUGGGGAGCGAACAGGAUUAGAUACCCUGGUAGUCCACGCCGUAAACGUUGGGCGCUAGAUGUGGGGCACCAUUCCACGGUUUCCGUGUCGCAGCUAACGCAUUAAGCGCCCCGCCUGGGGAGUACGGCCGCAAGGCUAAAACUCAAAGGAAUUGACGGGGUCAUAGCUG